GGAUGUGAAGGCGAUCUGGCUACGAUGUCUGUGACCCCAUUGAUCACCAGGGUUGAUUUGGCUGAUCUGGCUGGCUAGGCGGGUGUCCCCUUCCUCCCUCACCACUCCAUGUGUCUCUCUCCUGAAGCUGCGCGCUCAAAGAGGACCACCUUCCCCAAUAGAGGAGGACCGAUCUUCGGUCAAGGGUAUAUGAGUAGCCAUGCUCCCCUGCUAGAACCUCCAAACAAGCUCUCAAGCCAGCAACUCCUGUCUCUUCCAUUUCCACACCCAGUUAGUCACU
RNAcentral lists this small RNA (280 nucleotides) under Microcebus murinus (gray mouse lemur). Its description in RNAcentral is "7SK RNA (ENSMICG00000028074.2)". It matches the Rfam family "7SK RNA", at positions 1 to 247 of the family's 331-position model. Rfam says of the family: 7SK was discovered as an abundant small nuclear RNA in the mid-70s but a possible function has only recently been suggested. Two independent studies have found that 7SK RNA binds the CDK9/cyclin T complex (known as elongation factor P-TEFb). Lineage: Eukaryota; Metazoa; Chordata; Mammalia; Primates; Cheirogaleidae. The record is from Rfam by way of RNAcentral.